This 253-nucleotide ribosomal RNA is filed under the name uncultured bacterium. RNAcentral describes it as "partial 16S ribosomal RNA". It matches the Rfam family "Bacterial small subunit ribosomal RNA", at positions 524 to 776 of the family's 1533-position model. The record is from RNAcentral.
UACGUAGGUGGCAAGCGUUGUCCGGAUUUACUGGGCGUAAAGGGCGUGCAGGCGGUUUGUUAAGUGCAGGGUGAAAGCUCCCGGCUCAACUGGGAGAGGUCCUUGCAUACUGGCAAACUCGAGGGAGGCAGAGGAAAGUGGAAUUCCCGGUGUAGUGGUGAUAUGCGUAGAUAUCGGGAGGAACACCAGUGGCGAAGGCGGUUACCUGGAGCUUUGCUGACGCUGAUGCGCGAAAGCGUGGGGAGCGAUCCGG